CCUAUCCCGGCCGGUGGUUGUGCCGGGGUAAGCAUGUAGCCCGUCCCAUAGGCAAAUCCGUGGGGCAUUUAAGGGUGAGACGUGAUGCCGAGCCGUUUCAGGUGAAGUCAUUGAUCCUAUGCUGCCGAGAAAAGCCUCUAGCGAUGUUCCGAGCGGCCCGUACCCUAAACCGACACAGGUGGUCAGGUAGAGAAUACUAAGGCGACGGGUGAACUGUGGUUAAGGAACUCGGCAAAUUGCCCCCGUAACUUAGGGAGAAGGGGGGCCGGACGCGUGAAGCCCCUUGCGGGUGGAGCGUGGUAUGGCCGCAGAGAGCAGGGGGAAGCGACUGUUUACUAAAAACACAGGUCCAUGCCAAGUCGUAAGACGAUGUAUAUGGACUGACGCCUGCCCGGUGCUGGAACGUUAAGGGGACCUGUUAGCCCGUAAGGGCGAGGCGGAGAACUUAAGCGCCAGUAAACGGCGGUGGUAACUAUAACCAUCCUAAGGUAGCGAAAUUCCUUGUCGGGUAAGUUCCGACCUGCACGAAUGGCGUAACGACUUCCCCACUGUCUCAACCACAGGCCCGGCGAAAUUGCACUACGAGUAAAGAUGCUCGUUACGCGCGGCAGGACGGAAAGACCCCGGGACCUUUACUAUAGCUUGACAUUGGUAUCCGAAUUUAAUUGUGUAGGAUAGGUGGGAGCCGGUGAAGCUCGGACGCCAGUUCGGGUGGAGGCAAUCUUGAAAUACCACUCUGUUGGGUUUGGGUACCUAACUUGCGGCCCUGAUCGGGUCGAGGGACAGUGUCUGGUGGGUAGUUUAACUGGGGCGGUUGCCUCCUAAAGGGUAACGGAGGCGCCCAAAGGUUCCCUCAGCCUGGUUGGCAAUCAGGUGUUGAGUGUAAGUGCACAAGGGAGCUUGACUGUGAGACUGACGGGUCGAGCAGGGACGGAAGUCGGGACUAGUGAUCCGGCACUUGCGUGUGGAAGCGGUGUCGCUCAACGGAUAAAAGGUACCCCGGGGAUAACAGGCUGAUCUUCCCCAAGAGUCCAUAUCGACGGGAUGGUUUGGCACCUCGAUGUCGGCUCGUCGCAUCCUGGGGCUGCAGCAGGUCCCAAGGGUUGGGCUGUUCGCCCAUUAAAGCGGUACGCGAGCUGGGUUUAGAACGUCGUGAGACAGUUCGGUCCCUAUCCGCCGUGCGCGUUGGAUACUUGAGAAGGGCUGUCCCUAGUACGAGAGGACCGGGACGGACGAACCUCUGGUGUGCCGGUUGUCCCGCCAGGGGCACGGCUGGUUGGCUACGUUCGGAAGGGAUAACCGCUGAAAGCAUCUAAGCGGGAAGCUCGCUUCGAGAUGAGGUAUCCCACCACCUUGAGUGGGUAAGGCUCCCAAUAGACUAUUGGGUUGAUAGGCUGGAGAUGUAAGCCAGGUGACUGGUUCAGUCGACCGGUACUAAUAGGCCGAGGGCCAA
RNAcentral lists this ribosomal RNA (1453 nucleotides) under metagenome. RNAcentral describes it as "bacterial LSU rRNA". It matches the Rfam family "Bacterial large subunit ribosomal RNA", at positions 1485 to 2925 of the family's 2925-position model. The record is from RNAcentral.